This 662-nucleotide ribosomal RNA is filed under the name uncultured bacterium. RNAcentral's name for it is "bacterial SSU rRNA". It matches the Rfam family "Bacterial small subunit ribosomal RNA", at positions 66 to 718 of the family's 1533-position model. The record is from RNAcentral.
GGGGCACAUAUAGAUUGCUUGCAAUUUAUGAUGGCGACCGGCGCACGGGUGAGUAACGCGUAUCCAACCUACCCAUUACUAGGGAAUAACCCAGCGAAAGUUGGCCUAAUGCCCUAUGUAGUCGUUUGAUCGCCUGAGAUUUCGACGAAAGAUUUAUCGGUAUUGGAUGGGGAUGCGUCUGAUUAGCUUGUUGGCGGGGUAAAGGCCCACCAAGGCAACGAUCAGUAGGGGUUCUGAGAGGAAGGUCCCCCACAUUGGAACUGAGACACGGUCCAAACUCCUACGGGAGGCAGCAGUGAGGAAUAUUGGUCAAUGGGCGAGAGCCUGAACCAGCCAAGUAGCGUGCAGGAUGACGGCCCUAUGGGUUGUAAACUGCUUUUAUAUGGGAAUAAAGUGAGGGACGUGUCCCUUAUUGCAUGUACCAUACGAAUAAGGACCGGCUAAUUCCGUGCCAGCAGCCGCGGUAAUACGGAAGGUCCAGGCGUUAUCCGGAUUUAUUGGGUUUAAAGGGAGCGUAGGCUGUUUGUUAAGCGUGUUGUGAAAUGUAGGAGCUCAACUUUUAGAUUGCAGCGCGAACUGGCAGACUUGAGUGCGCACAACGUAGGCGGAAUUCAUGGUGUAGCGGUGAAAUGCUUANAUAUCAUGACGAACUCCGAUUGCGA